AGCGCUGCGGCGGCACAGAUACGUCCUGGCCGCCGCAGCGCCUGCUACUGAUUCCUAAACCGUGUGUCGCAGGUUCGAAUCCUGCCGGGG
This 90-nucleotide transfer RNA is filed under the name Geodermatophilus sabuli. RNAcentral describes it as "tRNA-OTHER". The record is from RNAcentral. Lineage: Bacteria; Bacillati; Actinomycetota; Actinomycetes; Geodermatophilales; Geodermatophilaceae.